AGCAGUUUUUCUCUCUCAGCGAGAGAGAGAUUGAGACAAAUCAUAGCACAAAGAGAGAGAGAAAGUAAGUCGCAUGGUACAAGUACGGAGAAUUUAGCACAAUAUUCUCAUCUUUUGACAGUUUCUCGCGAAUCAUGGCGGAUGUUAUAAAUACGGUGAUCAAAUAUGAUGGUGAAAACGCGUGGUUUAGUGUCGAUUUCCGUGAGAAAAAAGUGUUUUUAGACCUGGAAAAAGCAGCUCGAGAAUAACUCCGGAAAACUGGAGGUGUUUGAUGAAACUGACGCCGUCAAUUUUCUCAGCAUUUGGCAGGAAAUAUAUUUAUUUCAAAUGCUGCUCCCUUGCCAGAUUGAGAUUAACCAAGGCCAUCCCUUGCUCCACAAAGUGGCAGUAAAUUGGAAGUCACUGUGGAGGUGGCUCCACCAGCUCUUAUGAAAUCGCCAGAUCUUUUCUACAAGUUCAUCGUAAAGAAUGGUCCCCAGAAAUAUACGAGUUGUUGAAUAACGCUUCUCCGUUCAACUGGAAGUAGCCGUGAAACUAAGCGACCAUCUUUGAAGCAAGU
Long non-coding RNA from Phlebotomus papatasi, 559 nucleotides. RefSeq lists it as uncharacterized. The record is from RefSeq and is a predicted model, not a curated record. The transcript is spliced from 3 exons. NCBI's taxonomy places the organism in Eukaryota, Metazoa, Arthropoda, Insecta, Diptera, Psychodidae.